AUAAGCGGAGGAAAAGAAACCAACAGGGAUUGCCUCAGUAACGGCGAGUGAAGCGGCAAGAGCUCAAAUUUGAAAUCCGGCCCCCCUGGGGGCCUGAGUUGUAAUUUGCAGAGGAUGCUUCGGGCGCGACCGCGGUCCAAGUCCCCUGGAACGGGGCGUCGUAGAGGGUGAGAAUCCCGUCUCCGGCCGGCCGGUCUCGCCCGUGUGAAGCUCCUUCGACGAGUCGAGUUGUUUGGGAAUGCAGCUCCAAAUGGGUGGUAAAUUUCAUCUAAAGCUAAAUACUGGUCGGAGACCGAUAGCGCACAAGUAGAGUGAUCGAAAGAUGAAAAGCACUUUGAAAAGAGAGUUAAACAGCAUGUGAAAUUGUUGAAAGGGAAGCGCUUGCGACCAGAGUCGGCCGCGGGGGUUCAGCGGGCAUUCGUUGCCCGUGCAAUCCCCCGCGGCCGGGCCAGCGUCGGUUUCGACGGCCGGUCAAAGGCCCCCGGAAUGUGUCGCCUCUCGGGGCGUCUUAUAGCCGGGGGUGCAAUGCGGCCAGUCGGGACCGAGGAACGCGCUCCGGCACGGACGCUGGCUUAAUGGUCGUCAGCGACCCGUCUUGAA
Molecule: unclassified non-coding RNA, 600 nt
Filed under: Histoplasma capsulatum
Lineage: Eukaryota; Fungi; Ascomycota; Eurotiomycetes; Onygenales; Ajellomycetaceae
Description: sequence contains 28S rRNA gene
Rfam family: Eukaryotic large subunit ribosomal RNA
Source: RNAcentral